GAUGAACGCUGGCGGCGUGCCUAAUACAUGCAAGUCGAGCGAACGGACGAGAAGCUUGCUUCUCUGAUGUUAGCGGCGGACGGGUGAGUAACACGUGGAUAACCUACCUAUAAGACUGGGAUAACUUCGGGAAACCGUAGCUAAUACCGGAUAAUAUUUUGAACCGCAUGGUUCAAAAGUGAAAGACGGUCUUGCUGUCACUUAUAGAUGGAUCCGCGCUGCAUUAGCUAGUUGGUAAGGUAACGGCUUACCAAGGCAACGAUGCAUAGCCGACCGGAGAGGGUGAUCGGCCACACUGGAACUGAGACACGGUCCAGACUCCUACGGGAGGCAGCAGUAGGGAAUCUUCCGCAAUGGGCGAAAGCCUGACGGAGCAACGCCGCGUGAGUGAUGAAGGUCUUCGGAUCGUAAAACUCUGUUAUUAGGGAAGAACAUAUGUGUAAGUAACUGUGCACAUCUUGACGGUACCUAAUCAGAAAGCCACGGCUAACUACGUG
This 497-nucleotide ribosomal RNA is filed under the name uncultured bacterium. Its description in RNAcentral is "partial 16S ribosomal RNA". It matches the Rfam family "Bacterial small subunit ribosomal RNA", at positions 28 to 507 of the family's 1533-position model. The record is from RNAcentral.